RNAcentral lists this ribosomal RNA (394 nucleotides) under uncultured Hyphomicrobiaceae bacterium. RNAcentral describes it as "bacterial SSU rRNA". It matches the Rfam family "Bacterial small subunit ribosomal RNA", at positions 360 to 771 of the family's 1533-position model. Lineage: Bacteria; Pseudomonadati; Pseudomonadota; Alphaproteobacteria; Hyphomicrobiales; Hyphomicrobiaceae. The record is from RNAcentral.
AAUAUUGGACAAUGGGCGAAAGCCUGAUCCAGCCAUGCCGCGUGGGUGAAGAAGGCCUUAGGGUUGUAAACCCCUUUCAGCGGGGAAGAUAAUGACGGUACCCGCAGAAGAAGUCCCGGCUAACUCCGUGCCAGCAGCCGCGGUAAUACGGAGGGGACUAGCGUUGUUCGGAAUUACUGGGCGUAAAGCGCACGUAGGCGGAUUUGUAAGUCAGGGGUGAAAUCCCGGGGCUCAACCUCGGAACUGCCUUUGAUACUGCAAAUCUCGAGUCCGGAAGAGGUGAGUGGAAUUCCUAGUGUAGAGGUGAAAUUCGUAGAUAUUAGGAAGAACACCAGUGGCGAAGGCGGCUCACUGGUCCGGUACUGACGCUGAGGUGCGAAAGCGUGGGGAGCAA